This 305-nucleotide unclassified non-coding RNA is filed under the name plant metagenome. RNAcentral's name for it is "partial contains 5.8S ribosomal RNA, internal transcribed spacer 2, and large subunit ribosomal RNA". The stretch from base 1 to 105 matches the Rfam family "5.8S ribosomal RNA", at positions 50 to 154 of the family's 154-position model. The record is from RNAcentral.
GAAAUGCGAUAAGUAAUGUGAAUUGCAGAAUUCAGUGAAUCAUCGAAUCUUUGAACGCACAUUGCGCCCGCCAGUAUUCUGGCGGGCAUGCCUGUCCGAGCGUCAUUUCACCAUCAAGCCCCCGGGCUUGUGUUGGGGACCUGCGGCUGCCCGCAGGCCCUGAAAACCAGUGGCGGGCUCGCUGUCACACCGAGCGUAGUAGCAAUCACCUCGCUCAGGGCGUGCUGCGGGUUCCGGCCGUUAAACAGCCUUACAAAACCCAAGGUUGACCUCGGAUCAGGUAGGAAGACCCGCUGAACUUAAGC